Molecule: ribosomal RNA, 235 nt
Filed under: uncultured bacterium
Lineage: Bacteria
Description: partial 16S ribosomal RNA
Rfam family: Bacterial small subunit ribosomal RNA
Source: RNAcentral
UGAGUAACCUGCCCUUAACUCUGGGAUAAGCCUGGGAAACUGGGUCUAAUACCGGAUAUGACUCCUCAUCGCAUGGUGGGGGGUGGAAAGCUUUAUUGUGGUUUUGGAUGGACUCGCGGCCUAUCAGCUAGUUGGUGUGGGUAAUGGCCCACCAAGGCGACGACGGGUAGCCGGCCUGAGAGGGUGACCGGCCACACUGGGACUGAGACACGGCCCAGACUCCUACGGGAGGCAG